Erigeron canadensis is the source of this 1280-nucleotide RNA transcript. RefSeq lists it as uncharacterized. Lineage: Eukaryota; Viridiplantae; Streptophyta; Magnoliopsida; Asterales; Asteraceae. The record is from RefSeq and is a predicted model, not a curated record. The transcript is spliced from 5 exons.
ACAACUUUCAGAGCUUUUCUUAACUAUGCUACUUUCUCUGGCGAUGCUUGAUGACCAGGAGGGUUUACCUAUAUACGAUAACUUAUGCCUCCAUGUUAAUAUACGCAUAUAUAGGAAGGCAGCUCACCUAUGACGAUCUUGCACUGAUGGAGUUAAUUUAUCCUGAGGCCGUUCAGAAUGAUAAAAUCUAUCUAUACAAUCCUGAUACUCUCUGCAUGGACCCACACUACAUUGCGUUAUGACGUUGUGGCUGGGCACACUGAAUGCUCUGAUAUUGUAGCUCUUUCUAGGGAAUUUGACUCUAGGCUAUUCAAGCACUUCGAUUAUUACGGAGAGGAUAUUGAUGUGCCUGGGGCUGUACUUCCGUACCCUUUUAACACAAGACAGAACACAGUUAUUCGAAUGAAUUCUAAAGUGCACUCAUCAAAUGAGGAACUACGAGAUAUUUGUCAACCCUUCCCAGAAGAAGUAAGUGGCUAGUACCCUCUAUAACAGGUUACUUUAAUUCUCUACCAAUUAGGUCAUAACUGUAUCAGGAUCGUGAUAAUCGAGAUUAUAUAUGGUCACAUAUUAUGCUUACAUGUCAUGAUCAAUAGGUUUGUGAUUUGCCUAACCCUGAACUUUCGAAGCUGUAUAACAAAUGGAAGAUCACAGAUUCUCCAGAUCUUUUUUCCGUAGACUCGUUAAGGAAGGAACUACCAAGUCUCGAUGAAUUAAGCUGAGCUACUUAAUGCAUUCCAUAUGCGUCCAUCUUUUGUGAAUCAGUUUGUCAGACAAGGAUAAAGAAUCUUCAAAGAUGGAACUCUUAUACCGUCUCUUGUUUUACCAUCCCCACUAAUUAGAUCUGAUACAACCGUUGAUGAAGGACCUCCUUUUGGCACUGAACAUAACAAGCUUAAUAGCAUGUUUAGUCAGAAUUCAAUGAAAAGCAAUUUGCUUGCCAAGAGGUUCUCGGAUAUCUCAAUUACUGAUGAUGAAGGUGUAUUACUUGCGGGGGAAUCCAGUACUUUCGCCGCUGGUCCUUCUUCAAAGACUUCUUUUUAGCUUUCUGUCAUCAGCAAAGGUUUAGAACUCAAGUCCAUCUCUGAAAAGCUUACGUGAUUGUGCAACCAAGAUGCUCAAGGUUACUACAACUGGUUUCUGGGUUUUAUCUACAAGUUAUCAUGUGUGGCUUUGAAUUGCUUUUAAGAGAGCUUCUAGGAAACUUUUAUGCAACAAUGCUAUGAAGUUUGGUAGUCUAUUUUGUUUCUAGUAAUUCUUGCAUAAUUAUUAAUGAGUUU